RNAcentral lists this ribosomal RNA (524 nucleotides) under Streptomyces yangpuensis. RNAcentral describes it as "bacterial SSU rRNA". It matches the Rfam family "Bacterial small subunit ribosomal RNA", at positions 384 to 918 of the family's 1533-position model. The record is from RNAcentral. Lineage: Bacteria; Bacillati; Actinomycetota; Actinomycetes; Kitasatosporales; Streptomycetaceae.
UGAUGCAGCGACGCCGCGUGAGGGAUGACGGCCUUCGGGUUGUAAACCUCUUUCAGCAGGGAAGAAGCGAAAGUGACGGUACCUGCAGAAGAAGCGCCGGCUAACUACGUGCCAGCAGCCGCGGUAAUACGUAGGGCGCAAGCGUUGUCCGGAAUUAUUGGGCGUAAAGAGCUCGUAGGCGGCUUGUCACGUCGGAUGUGAAAGCCCGAGGCUUAACCUCGGGUCUGCAUUCGAUACGGGCUAGCUAGAGUGUGGUAGGGGAGAUCGGAAUUCCUGGUGUAGCGGUGAAAUGCGCAGAUAUCAGGAGGAACACCGGUGGCGAAGGCGGAUCUCUGGGCCAUUACUGACGCUGAGGAGCGAAAGCGUGGGGAGCGAACAGGAUUAGAUACCCUGGUAGUCCACGCCGUAAACGUUGGGAACUAGGUGUUGGCGACAUUCCACGUCGUCGGUGCCGCAGCUAACGCAUUAAGUUCCCCGCCUGGGGAGUACGGCCGCAAGGCUAAAACUCAAAUGAAUUGACGGGG